Molecule: ribosomal RNA, 897 nt
Filed under: uncultured marine bacterium
Lineage: Bacteria
Description: bacterial SSU rRNA
Rfam family: Bacterial small subunit ribosomal RNA
Source: RNAcentral
AGAGUUUGAUCCUGGCUCAGAGUGAACGCUGGCGGCGUGCUUAACACAUGCAAGUCGAACGAGAACGGAUUUUAGCUUGCUAAAAUUGUCAGCUAAGUGGCGCACGGGUGAGUAAUGUAUAGGUAAUGUGCCCCUUACUAGGAAAUAACAGUUGGAAACGACUGCUAAUGUCCUAUAUACCUCUAAAACAAAAGUUUGUGAGGGAAAGAUUUAUUGGUAAGGGAUCGGCCUGUAUGGUAUCAGUUAGUUGGUGAGGUAAUGGCUCACCAAGACAAUGACGCCUAACUGGUUUGAGAGGAUGAUCAGUCACACUGGAACUGAGACACGGUCCAGACUCCUACGGGAGGCAGCAGUGGGGAAUAUUGCACAAUGGACGAAAGUCUGAUGCAGCAACGCCGCGUGGAGGAUGACACAUUUCGGUGCGUAAACUCCUUUUAUAUAGGAAGAUAAUGACGGUACUAUAUGAGUAAGCGCCGGCUAACUCCGUGCCAGCAGCCGCGGUAAUACGGAGGGCGCAAGCGUUACUCGGAAUCACUGGGCGUAAAGAGCGUGUAGGCGGAUAAAUAAGUUUGAAGUGAAAUCCUAUAGCUUAACUAUAGAACUGCUUUGAAAACUGUUUGUCUAGAAUAUGGGAGAGGUAGAUGGAAUUUCUGGUGUAGGGGUAAAAUCCGUAGAGAUCAGAAGGAAUACCGAUUGCGAAGGCGAUCUACUGGAACAUUAUUGACGCUGAGACGCGAAAGCGUGGGGAGCAAACAGGAUUAGAUACCCUGGUAGUCCACGCCCUAAACGAUGUACACUAGUUGUUGUGAGGCUAGACCUUGCAGUAAUGCAGUUAACACAUUAAGUGUACCGCCUGGGGAGUACGGUCGCAAGAUUAAAACUCAAAGGAAUUGACGG